This 646-nucleotide unclassified non-coding RNA is filed under the name uncultured Prochlorococcus sp. RNAcentral's name for it is "partial 16S-23S ribosomal RNA intergenic spacer; may also contain 16S ribosomal RNA and 23S ribosomal RNA". The stretch from base 305 to 377 matches the Rfam family "tRNA". Lineage: Bacteria; Bacillati; Cyanobacteriota; Cyanophyceae; Synechococcales; Prochlorococcaceae. The record is from RNAcentral.
UUGUGGAGGAGGACGCCGAAGGUGGGGCUAAUGACUGGGGUGAAGUCGUAACAAGGUAGCCGUACCGGAAGGUGCGGCUGGAUCACCUCCUAACAGGGAGACAACAAAAUGUUUAAUAUUAUUAUUUUGUCACCUUAGGUCGAUCGGUAUCUCACGUUUUUAAUUUAUUAAGAACUUCAUUUCCUAAGUUUUUCUAGGUCACACCCAUUAUUUUUCCUGGGCCAUUAGCUCAGGUGGUUAGAGCGCACCCCUGAUAAGGGUGAGGUCCCUGGUUCAAGUCCAGGAUGGCCCAUAUCUCUAUGUUGGGGGUAUAGCUCAGUUGGUAGAGCGCCUGCUUUGCAAGCAGGAUGUCAGCGGUUCGAGUCCGCUUACCUCCACUGAUUACCACCUCUUCCAUAACCGGUAGAAAGGAAAUGUUUUGAGUUGUGAUCAAAUUCUGAAAGAAUUCAGCUUCCUAAUGAAAUCAUUAAGAUGCUGGACUCAUUGAAUUAAUUUCAUUGUUUUCAGAGAACCUUGACAACUGCAUAGAUUAUUUUUAAAGACAAUAAGCAUCUUUAAUGAUGUAGAUUUAUUAUUUGUGCGAAUGCAUUAAUAACAAUUCUAUUAAGCUGAUGCUUCAAUUUUGAAGUUAUUGGUCAAGCUACAA